AUAAGGGUGCCAGAAAGUUAAAUGGGAAUGAUUUAGGUUCAUUUUAUGACUGUAAAAGUCUUCUUAUU
RNAcentral lists this transfer RNA (68 nucleotides) under Hymenolepis diminuta. RNAcentral's name for it is "tRNA-Leu". Lineage: Eukaryota; Metazoa; Platyhelminthes; Cestoda; Cyclophyllidea; Hymenolepididae. The record is from RNAcentral.